RNAcentral lists this ribosomal RNA (803 nucleotides) under Apoderus jekelii. RNAcentral's name for it is "12S ribosomal RNA". Lineage: Eukaryota; Metazoa; Arthropoda; Insecta; Coleoptera; Attelabidae. The record is from RNAcentral.
UCGUAGUGUUAUAUUCUAUAGUUUUUUUAAAAAGUUUUUUGCUUGAGGUUUUGGUCUAGUUUUGUAUUUAGAUGGGAUUUAUAGUUAAAUAAUUAGAAUUUCAGUUAAUAAUUUUAUAUAUUAAGGAGAUUUAGAUAUAGUAAUAAUGUUAGUAUUAACAAAAUUUGUGCCAGCAGUUGCGGUUAUACAAAUAGUACAAUUAAAUUUUAUUGGGAAUAGUAAAUUGUUUUAUUUAGUUUUUAUCUAAAUUUGUUAGGUAAAAUUUUAAAUUUAGAUUAAGCUAAUAUUUAUAAUUUGAUCUAAGAUACUCAGAAUUUAAACUAGGAUUAGAUACCCUACUAUUUUGAAUUUAAAUCAUCUUACCUAAUUAGUAUUAGUUACGUUCUUGAAAAUUAAAAAAUUUGGCGGUAUUUUAGUCUAUUCAGAGGAACCUGUUUUGUAAUCGAUAGUCCACGUUUAAGUCAAUCUAAAUUAUAAGCUUGCAUAUCGUUGUAGUUCGAAAAUUUUAUAGGAAACUAAAUAUUCAAGAUUUAUAAUUAUAAUAAAAAUCAAAUCAAGGUGUAGCUUAUAUUUGGGAAAAAAUGGGUUACAAUAUUUUUAUUUUUGGUUUAUAGGUUGUGAAUUUAUGAUAAAUUGGAUUUGAAAGUAAUGGUAUAUAUAUUUAUUACAUGAUUUGAGCUCUAAAAUAUGCACAUAUCGCCCGUCGCUUUCACUAUAAAGUGAAAUAAGUCGUAACAUAGUAGUCUUACUGGAAAGUGAGGCUAGAAUGAUCAAAUUAAAGCUUAAUAGAAGCAUUUUAUUUA